CGCCUGCCCUGUGACAAAAGUUUAACGGCCGCGGUAUUUUGACCGUGCAAAGGUAGCGCAAUCACUUGUCUUUUAAAUGAAGACCUGUAUGAAUGGCAUCACGAGGGCUUAACUGUCUCCUUUUUCCAGUCAAUGAAAUUGAUCUCCCCGUGCAGAAGCGGGGAUUCAACCAUAAGACGAGAAGACCCUAUGAAGCUUUAGACACAAGACAGAUCUUGUCAAACACUUCAACUUAAAGAAAUAAACUAAAAGAACCCUGCCCUAAUGUCUUUGGUUGGGGCGACCACGGGGAAAUAAAAAACCCCCACGCGGAUUAAGAGAACAUCUCUCACAACCAAGAGCCACAGCUCUAACUAACAGAACCUCUGACCUUAAGAUCCGGCAAUGCCGAUCAACGAACCGAAUUACUCUAGGGAUAACAGCGCAAUCCCCUUUUAGAGUUCAUAUCGACAAGGGGGUUUACGACCUCGAUGUUGGAUCAGGACAUCCUAAUGGUGCAGCAACUAUUAAGGGUUCGUUUGUUCAACGAUUAAAGUCCU
Molecule: ribosomal RNA, 539 nt
Filed under: Betta mandor
Lineage: Eukaryota; Metazoa; Chordata; Actinopteri; Anabantiformes; Osphronemidae
Description: partial 16S ribosomal RNA
Rfam family: Bacterial large subunit ribosomal RNA
Source: RNAcentral